UGGACCCACCAGUGACAAUGGGUGAUAUAUAUGACUCAUAUAUUAUGGAGAUGUGUCUGGAACCCUGAGGUCCAA
Lynx canadensis (Canada lynx) is the source of this 75-nucleotide small nucleolar RNA. Ensembl annotates it as small nucleolar RNA SNORD113/SNORD114 family. Lineage: Eukaryota; Metazoa; Chordata; Mammalia; Carnivora; Felidae. The record is from Ensembl.